GGGUCGAUGCCCGAGCGGUUAAAGGGGACGGACUGUAAAUUCGUUGGCGUGUCCUACGCUGGUUCAAAUCCAGCUCGGCCCA
This 82-nucleotide transfer RNA is filed under the name Simmondsia chinensis (jojoba). RNAcentral's name for it is "tRNA-Tyr". It matches the Rfam family "tRNA". From Rfam's summary of the family: Transfer RNA (tRNA) molecules are approximately 80 nucleotides in length. Their secondary structure includes four short double-helical elements and three loops (D, anti-codon, and T loops). Further hydrogen bonds mediate the characteristic L-shaped molecular structure. tRNAs have two regions of fundamental functional importance: the anti-codon, which is responsible for specific mRNA codon recognition, and the 3' end, to which the tRNAs corresponding amino acid is attached (by aminoacyl-tRNA synthetases). tRNAs cope with the degeneracy of the genetic code in two manners: having more than one tRNA (with a specific anti-codon) for a particular amino acid; and 'wobble' base-pairing, i.e. permitting non-standard base-pairing at the 3rd anti-codon position. The record is from RNAcentral. Lineage: Eukaryota; Viridiplantae; Streptophyta; Magnoliopsida; Caryophyllales; Simmondsiaceae.